This 256-nucleotide ribosomal RNA is filed under the name uncultured bacterium. RNAcentral describes it as "partial 16S ribosomal RNA". It matches the Rfam family "Bacterial small subunit ribosomal RNA", at positions 524 to 777 of the family's 1533-position model. The record is from RNAcentral.
UACGUAGGGCGCAAGCGUUAUCCGGAAUUAUUGGGCGUAAAGAGCUCGUAGGCGGUUUGUCGCGUCUGCCGUGAAAGUCCGGGGCUCAACUCCGGAUCUGCGGUGGGUACGGGCAGACUAGAGUGAUGUAGGGGGAGACUGGAAUUCCUGGUGUAGCGGUGAAAUGCGCAGAUAUCAGGAGGAACACCGAUGGCGAAGGCAGGUCGCUGGGACGGUACUGACGCUGAGGCGCGAAAGCAUGGGGGAGCGAACAGGG